UGCGUAGGUGGUGAGGUAAGUCGGAUGUGAAAGCUCGGAGCUCAACUCCGAAAUGGCAUUGGAAACUACCUUGCUUGAGGAUUGGAGGGGGGACUGGAAUACUUGGUGUAGCAGUGAAAUGCGUAGAUAUCAAGUGGAACACCAGUGGCGAAGGCGAGUCCCUGGACAAUUCCUGACACUGAGGCACGAAAGCUAGGGGAGCAAACAG
This 208-nucleotide ribosomal RNA is filed under the name uncultured Verrucomicrobiota bacterium. RNAcentral's name for it is "uncultured Verrucomicrobia bacterium partial 16S ribosomal RNA". It matches the Rfam family "Bacterial small subunit ribosomal RNA", at positions 568 to 775 of the family's 1533-position model. The record is from RNAcentral. Lineage: Bacteria; Pseudomonadati; Verrucomicrobiota.